UCGAGGAUCUUCGGCAAUGGGCGAAAGCCUGACCGAGCGACGCCGCGUGCGGGAUGAAGGCCUUCGGGUUGUAAACCGCUUUCGUAGGGGAGGAAAUUCCGGUGGGAUCACCCAUCGGUUUGACCUAGCCUAGGAAGAAGGACGGGCUAAGUUCGUGCCAGCAGCCGCGGUAAUACGAACCGUCCUAACGUUAUUCGGAAUUAUUGGGCUUAAAGGGUGCGUAGGCGGCCCGGUAAGUUGGGUGUGAAAUCCCUCGGCUCAACCGAGGAAUUGCGCCCAAAACUGUCGGGCUCGAGGGAGAUAGAGGUGAGCGGAACUUAGGGUGGAGCGGUGAAAUGCGUUGAUAUCCUAAGGAACACCGGUGGCGAAAGCGGCUCACUGGGUCUCUUCUGACGCUGAGGCACGAAAGCUAGGGGAGCGAAGA
Molecule: ribosomal RNA, 424 nt
Filed under: uncultured prokaryote
Description: bacterial SSU rRNA
Rfam family: Bacterial small subunit ribosomal RNA
Source: RNAcentral